GACGUAGGGCGCGAGCGUUGUCCGGAUUUAUUGGGCGUAAAGAGCUCGUAGGCGGCUUGUCGCGUCGUCCGUGAAAACCUGCAGCUCAACUGCAGGCUUGCGGUCGAUACGGGCAGGCUGGAGUUCGGUAGGGGAGACUGGAAUUCCUGGUGUGGCGGUGAAAUGCGCAGAUAUCAGGAGGAACACCGGUGGCGAAGGCGGGUCUCUGGGCCGAUACUGACGCUGAGGAGCGAAAGCGUGGGGAGCGAACAGG
RNAcentral lists this ribosomal RNA (253 nucleotides) under uncultured bacterium. RNAcentral describes it as "partial 16S ribosomal RNA". It matches the Rfam family "Bacterial small subunit ribosomal RNA", at positions 524 to 776 of the family's 1533-position model. The record is from RNAcentral.